RNAcentral lists this ribosomal RNA (610 nucleotides) under uncultured bacterium. Its description in RNAcentral is "bacterial SSU rRNA". It matches the Rfam family "Bacterial small subunit ribosomal RNA", at positions 61 to 670 of the family's 1533-position model. The record is from RNAcentral.
GUCGAACGAGAAUCUACUGAAAGAGUCUUCGGACAAUGGAUGUAGAGGAAAGUGGCGGACGGGUGAGUAACGCGUGAGGAACCUGCCUUGAAGAGGGGGACAACAGUUGGAAACGACUGCUAACACCGCAUGACGCAUAGAGGUCGCAUGAUCUUUAUGCCAAAGAUUUAUCGCUUCAAGAUGGCCCCGCGUCUGAUUAGCUAGUUGGCGGGGUAACGGCCCACCAAGGCGACGAUCAGUAGCCGGACUGAGAGGUUGAACGGCCACAUUGGGACUGAGAUACGGCCCAGACUCCUACGGGAGGCAGCAGUGGGGAAUAUUGGGCAAUGGGCGCAAGCCUGACCCAGCAACGCCGCGUGAAGGAAGAAGGCUUUCGGGUUGUAAACUUCUUUUAAGAGGGAAGAGCAGAAGACGGUACCUCUAGAAUAAGCCACGGCUAACUACGUGCCAGCAGCCGCGGUAAUACGUAGGUGGCAAGCGUUGUCCGGAUUUACUGGGUGUAAAGGGCGUGCAGCCGGGUCUGCAAGUCAGAUGUGAAAUCCAUGGGCUCAACCCAUGAACUGCAUUUGAAACUGUAGAUCUUGAGUGUCGGAGGGGCAAUCGGAAUUCC